RNAcentral lists this transfer RNA (73 nucleotides) under bacterium. RNAcentral's name for it is "tRNA-Gln". It matches the Rfam family "tRNA". Rfam says of the family: Transfer RNA (tRNA) molecules are approximately 80 nucleotides in length. Their secondary structure includes four short double-helical elements and three loops (D, anti-codon, and T loops). The record is from RNAcentral.
AGCCCCGUAGUGUAGUGGUCCAUCAUCGUGGACUCUGAAUCCACGGACACCGGUUCAAAUCCGGUCGGGGCUA